UGCUUGUCUCAAAGAUUAAGCCAUGCAUGUCUAAGCAUAAACCGAAUAUGGUAAAGCCGCGAAUGGCUCAUUACAACAGCCAUAGUUUAUUGGAUCUUAGAGUCCUACUUGGAUACCUGUGGUAAUUCCACAGCUAAUACACGCAAUCAAGCCUCAACCUUACGGGCGGGGCGCAUUUAUUAGAACAAAACCAAUUGGCUUCGGCCAUAGAUUGGUGAAUCUGAAUAACUACGCUGAUCGCACGGGCUUGUCCCGGCGACGUAUCCUUCAAGUGUCUGCCUUAUCAACUUUCGAUGGUAGUUUAUAUGACUACCAUGGUUGUAACGGGUAACGGAGAAUAAGGGUUCGACUCCGGAGAGGGAGCCUGAGAAACGGCUACCACAUCCRAGGAAGGCAGCAGGCA
RNAcentral lists this ribosomal RNA (403 nucleotides) under Nematoda environmental sample. RNAcentral describes it as "SSU rRNA". It matches the Rfam family "Eukaryotic small subunit ribosomal RNA", at positions 29 to 436 of the family's 1831-position model. The record is from RNAcentral. Lineage: Eukaryota; Metazoa; Nematoda.